RNA transcript from Brassica napus (rape), 1682 nucleotides. It is a transcript of the gene named V-type proton ATPase subunit B 2-like, with no coding region annotated. The transcript has 8 exons. NCBI's taxonomy places the organism in Eukaryota, Viridiplantae, Streptophyta, Magnoliopsida, Brassicales, Brassicaceae. The record is from RefSeq and is a predicted model, not a curated record.
CCAAUAAGAUUCUUUUUUUUUGCCAUGUCACAGACCAUGUUGGACUUCUAAUAAUUAUGACUAAACACACGGUUCUCUUUUUCGCACACAAAAUUUAACAUUUUCAGAAGUUUGUCCAUUUAAUUUAUGUAGCCCAGCACGAACCAAUCUUGGUCCACCAAAAGUCCAUAUGAACUUCCAUCUUCUUCCUCGGCUACGAAACCUUUGCUUCCACAACCUCUGGGAUACUGUCUUCAUAACACCUCUCCUCUGCAUUCAAUUAAUUAAGAUCCUUCAAUUCAGCCAUCCCAUUACUUGAUAUUUAACUCACCAGUUUCGUAUUCUUCUCUGAAACGCUACCACCCAAACGGAUCGCCUAUACACUGUGUAAGAGAUAGAAACAGAGAGAGAGAGAGAGUGGAGUUUACUAAGAUAGAGAUGGGAGGUGUGACUUCUUCAAUUGCGAUGAAGGUGGUGCUCUUCGGCCGUAUCAGUUAACUUGCAAGGCAAUCAGAGACAACGCAUCGGUGGUCCGAUGUUGGAGCUCUCUAUCGAGCUAACUAUUCAGCUUUUUGUCAAUUUGAUGGGAAAACGAGUAUCGUUUCCAAAGGAGAGGAAAUCUAUCUAAAUAUAUCCAAAGUACCAGGAGAUUGUUAAUAUUCGCUUAGGUGAUGGAUCUAUGAGACGUGGUCAGGUCAUGGAGGUUGAUGGCGAGAAAGCUGUUGUCCAAGGCAAUUGGCUGUACAAGUUCAAUGUUCUCAAUAAACUUAUUUUCUUUUGGUUUCAGGUUUUUGAAAGAACAUCUGAAAUUGACACCGUUCAAUUCACUGAGUUACUGAAAACACAUGUAUCUCAAGAGAUGCUUGGGCGCAUUUUUAACGGCUCAAGAAAGACAAUUGAUUAUGGCCCUCCUAUUUUGCCUGAGGCAUACCUUGAUAUUUCUGAUGAUACAAACAGGAAUAGAUGGUCUCAUGUUCCUUGCAGAUGUGCAUGAGACUAUUCCUGAAGGCAUUAAUCUUAGAGGAGACAUAAACGUCUGUGCUAAAUACUCAUUCCUAAGUCCUCUUCUGCAGCUGUGUUGGUUGCAACUGUGGCUAAAAAAACCUGAAACUCAGGCUGGUGCCUUAACGCUUGAUAAUGGAAUAUGUUGCGUUCAUGAGUUUGACAAGAUGGAUAUGUAAAACCAGGCUGCAAUUCGAGAAGCCAUGGAGCAGCCACAAUAAGCACUAUUUUUCUGUGUGUAGAUCCGUCUACUUCCCAUGUUUGAGGAGUAUAACUUACUCAUACGGUAAAGAGAAAGAACACCGACUCCAAUGGAUUUGAUGAAGCUCCAAGAACAGCUCAUAGCAGAGCAUGAGGCACUUUACGAGUCAAAACCGAGCCCAUUUAAACCCCUUGGUGAUUUAAAAGGCUCCUGGAAUGUCAACCGGUGCCGGUGGUGCUGCAACCAACCGAAGACUUUCCUUAAGAGCCGGAAUGUGUGGGCAAAAUGUGUUAAUUAUCAUCCGUUUGUUACUCAUAAGCUUGCUCUGUACAACAUAAAGGUUGAGGCAAAAUGUGCUGCGAGCUGAUCUGCAUUUUGUUUAUAGAUGCCAUUGGAAAGUAGAGAUUUGUCUGUAACCUAAACGGUUCUAUAAGCACUGCAAGUUUUGAUAAGUUUGGAUGUUCUAUGCAAGGAUGCAUGACUAUUAACUUUACGAGUC